Molecule: ribosomal RNA, 497 nt
Filed under: uncultured bacterium
Lineage: Bacteria
Description: partial 16S ribosomal RNA
Rfam family: Bacterial small subunit ribosomal RNA
Source: RNAcentral
GAUGAACGCUGGCGGCGUGCCUAAUACAUGCAAGUCGAGCGAACAGAUAAGGAGCUUGCUCCUUUGACGUUAGCGGCGGACGGGUGAGUAACACGUGGGUAACCUACCUAUAAGACUGGGAUAACUUCGGGAAACCGGAGCUAAUACCGGAUAAUAUUUCGAACCGCAUGGUUCGAUAGUGAAAGAUGGUUUUGCUAUCACUUAUAGAUGGACCCGCGCCGUAUUAGCUAGUUGGUAAGGUAACGGCUUACCAAGGCGGCGAUCCGUAGCCGACCUGAGAGGGUGAGCGGCCACACUGGAACUGAGACACGGUCCAGACUCCGACGGGAGGCAGCAGUAGGGAAUCUUCCGCAAUGGGCGAAAGCCUGACGGAGCAACGCCGCGUGAGUGAUGAAGGUCUUCGGAUCGUAAAACUCUGUUAUUAGGGAAGAACAUACGUGUAAGUAACUGUGCACGUCUUGACGGUACCUAAUCAGAAAGCCACGGCUAACUACGUG